GCCCGAGUGGCGGAACCGGUAGACGCAAGGGACUUAAAAUCCCUUGAGCAGUUUGCUCGUGUGGGUUCGAGUCCCACCUCGGGUACCA
This 88-nucleotide transfer RNA is filed under the name Bacillota bacterium. Its description in RNAcentral is "Firmicutes bacterium (anaerobic digester metagenome) tRNA-Leu". It matches the Rfam family "tRNA". From Rfam's summary of the family: Transfer RNA (tRNA) molecules are approximately 80 nucleotides in length. Their secondary structure includes four short double-helical elements and three loops (D, anti-codon, and T loops). Further hydrogen bonds mediate the characteristic L-shaped molecular structure. tRNAs have two regions of fundamental functional importance: the anti-codon, which is responsible for specific mRNA codon recognition, and the 3' end, to which the tRNAs corresponding amino acid is attached (by aminoacyl-tRNA synthetases). tRNAs cope with the degeneracy of the genetic code in two manners: having more than one tRNA (with a specific anti-codon) for a particular amino acid; and 'wobble' base-pairing, i.e. permitting non-standard base-pairing at the 3rd anti-codon position. The record is from RNAcentral. Lineage: Bacteria; Bacillati; Bacillota.